UCCGGAGUAGCUCAGUUGGUAGAGCGAGUGGCUGUUAACCACCAGGUCGGGGGUUCGAGUCCCUCCUCCGGAG
Molecule: transfer RNA, 73 nt
Filed under: Caldithrix abyssi
Lineage: Bacteria; Pseudomonadati; Calditrichota; Calditrichia; Calditrichales; Calditrichaceae
Also listed under: 8 other names
Description: tRNA-Asn
Rfam family: tRNA
About the family: Transfer RNA (tRNA) molecules are approximately 80 nucleotides in length. Their secondary structure includes four short double-helical elements and three loops (D, anti-codon, and T loops). Further hydrogen bonds mediate the characteristic L-shaped molecular structure. tRNAs have two regions of fundamental functional importance: the anti-codon, which is responsible for specific mRNA codon recognition, and the 3' end, to which the tRNAs corresponding amino acid is attached (by aminoacyl-tRNA synthetases). tRNAs cope with the degeneracy of the genetic code in two manners: having more than one tRNA (with a specific anti-codon) for a particular amino acid; and 'wobble' base-pairing, i.e. permitting non-standard base-pairing at the 3rd anti-codon position.
Source: RNAcentral